This 72-nucleotide transfer RNA is filed under the name bacterium. RNAcentral describes it as "tRNA-Glu". It matches the Rfam family "tRNA". Rfam says of the family: Transfer RNA (tRNA) molecules are approximately 80 nucleotides in length. Their secondary structure includes four short double-helical elements and three loops (D, anti-codon, and T loops). Further hydrogen bonds mediate the characteristic L-shaped molecular structure. tRNAs have two regions of fundamental functional importance: the anti-codon, which is responsible for specific mRNA codon recognition, and the 3' end, to which the tRNAs corresponding amino acid is attached (by aminoacyl-tRNA synthetases). tRNAs cope with the degeneracy of the genetic code in two manners: having more than one tRNA (with a specific anti-codon) for a particular amino acid; and 'wobble' base-pairing, i.e. permitting non-standard base-pairing at the 3rd anti-codon position. The record is from RNAcentral.
GGCCCGUUCGUCUAACGGUUAGGACGCCAGGUUUUCAUCCUGGAAAUAGGAGUUCGAUUCUCCUACGGGCUA